AUUUUGAAAGCGAACUACGCACUAAGUUUCGACCUUAGAAGUGAAUUUAUAUUCUCAAAGUA
This 62-nucleotide transfer RNA is filed under the name Bulinus globosus. RNAcentral's name for it is "tRNA-Arg". Lineage: Eukaryota; Metazoa; Mollusca; Gastropoda; Planorbidae. The record is from RNAcentral.